Long non-coding RNA from Canis lupus familiaris (dog), 2341 nucleotides. RefSeq lists it as uncharacterized. The transcript is spliced from 4 exons. Lineage: Eukaryota; Metazoa; Chordata; Mammalia; Carnivora; Canidae. The record is from RefSeq and is a predicted model, not a curated record.
ACAACAGGAACUCUUUCUAGAUUGGUUCCAUUGAUGCUUUGUCCCUGAAGUCAGGAAAUACUCUGCCAGUAAGGAACUGCCUUUUGUAGUUCCUUUGAUAUUGGACAAUGCCCCUGACCCCACAGAACUCCGUAAGUUUAACACUUGCGGGUGUCAUCAAAGUGGUCUACUUGCCCCCAAACAUAGUGUCUCUAAUCCAGCCUGUAGGUCAGGGGGUCUAACGACCUUUAAGGCUCAUUACACACUGUGCUCUGUGGAAAGGAUUGUCAGCACUGUGGAACAGAAAGAACGCAGCAGACAGAACUUCAUGAAAGUCUGGGAAGAUUACACCAUUGAGGACGCCAUGGUUGUUAUAGAAAAAGCUGUGAGAGCCAUCAAGCCUGAAACAAUAAAUUCCUGCUGGGGAGAACUGUGUCCGGAUGUUGUGCAGGACUUUGCAGGAUUUAUGACAGAGCCAAUCAAGGAAAUCAUGAAAGAGAUUGUGGAUAUAGCAGCAAAGAUGGGGGAGGGGUGAAGGGUUUCAAGAUAUCUUGAAGAAAUUCAAAUGCUAAUAGACAUCACAUCAGAGGGAUGAACAGAAGGCCACACUUGAUGGAGAUGAACCAAUGCCAGACGAUGAAGAAGAAGACGCAGAAGGAGCAGAGCCAAAAAACAAAUUGACAUUAGAGCAAUCUGGCAGAAGGGUUCUGAUGACUGAAGACCGUUUUCAACUUCUUUUAUGACAUAGACCCUUCUAUGAUAUAGACACUGAAACGGAAGUCAGCGGCAGAAGAUGGAUUGGUACCACAUAGAAACAUUCUCAGAAAAAUCAAGUAAGUCAGAGAGAAAUUAUGGCAUAUUUCCAUAAAGUUACAUUGAGUGUGCCUGCCCGCCCCCCGCCUCCCCUUCUGCCUCCACUUUCCCACCUCUGCCUCCCAAGACAGCAAGACUAGCUCUUCCUCUUCCUCUUCCUCCUCAGCCUACUAACAAUGGGCCUAUUAACAUGACGAUGACAAAGAUGAAGACCUUUAUGAUGAUCCUUUCUACUUAAUAAUAAUCAUCAUGCUGUACAGUUAAUAAACUUCUCUGUUGUGGAUGUGUGUGUUUUCAUGCAAACAUCUAAUAACUGUGUUUCUUGAGACAAAAAUGAGACAUUUUUGUGUCAUCAUCAUCAUCAUCAUUGCCUAAGUAUUCAUCAUGUAGAACAUUGUGUGCAAGACUUGUAUGGAAGUAGACAGCCUAUCAUUACACAUGUGAAUGAUAUUUAAUCAUAUAAGAUACAGACACUUUUUUAUCUUUCCAAGGUGAUACUGGGAAAACAGGAAAUAUCAGUGAUUUGAUGUAACAAAGAAAACCCUUGUUACUGUACAUAGAAGCUCUGUCCAUUUUCUUGAUCUUAUUCUAUUGGAGCAGAGGUUUGAAAAGGCCUACUUUGUAGACAUUAUCUUUAAGAGAAUCCUUCAAAUUCGAAAUAACUUGGUUGGACUAUUCAGAAGGAUCUACGCCUCCCUCCCUCAGAUUUCCAGCCUUGAGUAUCUGUUUAAAAACCAGUAAAUGAGAAUUAACCACAGCUAUGCCCAUGAAGGCUCGCCUGGAAUUCAAGAUGAAUUUAAUCGGGAGUGGUCACUUACACGAUGGAGGAUGUGACUGCAGGCAACAGAGGGCUGGUGUGUAAUUUCCGAUGGCCCUUUAAAUUCUGGACUUGGCUUCCCUCCUGGCCGUGUGCUGCCGCUGACCUGCGUGUAGUUCUGGGCGGCCACGCUGAAGAAGGUCUCCUGAAAUGUUCUGGGCUGCAGCCAUUUCCUUACUGCAGAUGAAUAAUGAAUGAGCUGUGGUGAAAGCUAAUGGUUCAAGAUAAAAAUCAGAAGCUCACUGCGAAGUGGGUAAUGUUCCUUUGUCAUCUCCAUGGAAACUGCUAUUUAUCAAGACAUGCUAGUAUUUCAGAAGAUGGUAAGGAGUAACCAGUUUCUGUAACUCUGGGUCAGGUGUUGAAGGAUAGAUUUCGAAACCACAGAUGGAGUCCAGAAUGAGUAAAGAAAAAGCCAUCGGCAUGCAAUGGGGAAGCACUGUCAGGCCAUUCUUUUAGAUUUUCAUAAAUGGUAAAAUAAAUAUUAAGCUGUAAGAUGUGAAUCAAAAAAUGAGUUAAUACUUUUUUCCCCCCAAGAACUUUGACUUGGCUACUGGGUGGGCUACAGAGUGAACGAGUGUCAGACAUCUUCCAGGUGGCUCUUCGGGGAUGCAGCAGGGAGGAUUGGCACCUGUGUCAGGAAUGCUGAGAGCAGCUGGCUGCACAGCACUGGUACAAAACAAUCCCCUGGCCUCGUGCAUGAGUGACGCAUUGCCCGUGGCCUGGGUGUGUUGU